CCCCCACCCAUGUGUAUAGGACCCCAAAUGAUCACCAUUGAAUUUGGCACGGAGCUUUAAAAAAGUUAUCACAUCGGUAUGAAACUUGACUUUUUUAGAGAUCCGUGUCAAAUUUAAUGGUAAUCCUUUGGGGUCCUACACACAUGGGUGGGGG
This 154-nucleotide microRNA precursor is filed under the name Amborella trichopoda. Its description in RNAcentral is "MIR8565 microRNA precursor family". It matches the Rfam family "MIR8565 microRNA precursor family". The record is from Rfam by way of RNAcentral. Lineage: Eukaryota; Viridiplantae; Streptophyta; Magnoliopsida; Amborellales; Amborellaceae.